UAAUAACUUGAAUUACAUGGACCAAGGACUUAUGACCAAACAAGUAUUUUAUUAUUUUGGCUUAAUACCCUGACUGAAGAUCAGCUGCAUCAAAUAUAAAUUUCUAUUUUUAGUUCAGCCUGCUAUAAUCUAAUUUUUUUUAACUACAUUUUGUUUUUUAUUUGCUUUUAACAAGUUGCAGUGAUGUCAAUAAAAAACCACCUUUAGAAGAAAAAAAUAUGAAUCAAAAUGAUAAAAUUAUGUAUAAUAAAGAAAUAUAUUAUGAUUUACCACUAGCUUAAUGAAUAAUAUCUGCAACAUGAUCCUUCUCAAUGGUUACUUAUGUACAGCUUUGCUGAUAAAAUUGCUAAUCAUUUCACAUGACACAGAAUGAAGUACUCCUAUGCAGAUUAAAUAUUGAAAGUGGCUCAAAAUAACUAAACUUCAACAUUCUAACACUUUAUUGUUGCUAGCUACAAUUUUCUUUCCAUUUGAAUCUUCAGAGACUAAGUCUGUCUGUAUAUUGGCACAAAAAAUGGCCACAGUACGUCUUUGUUUCAUGUAAUGUAAUCUAAUGAUCAAAAUAUUAGAGUUUUUACAAGUAGAUUAGCACCAAGACUUGACAUUCUCAUAAUAAUUAUUACAAACCUGGUUAGAUAUUUGUCUGAAUUACUUAAAAUACAAUAAGAGCAUAACUGGAAAAUCCUCAUUGCUCAAUAAAUUAUUUUACUUGUUAAAAUUCAAUAUUUCUUAUCAAUAUGAGAUGAAGUAAAAAAAACAAAGCAAGUAAUAUUGUACAGAUCUUUAAGAUAUACCACUAAAAAUAGAUAUAUAAGAUACUAGCUGUAACCGUCUGCUUUGGUGGGCAUUUAAAAUUAACAUUAUUAUUUCUCACCCCCACAAAGAUUCUCAUCACUAACGCCCCCGCAACUAGUGUAGGAGUCCAACACUCAUAUAAAUAUUAGCCUAUCCAUUAAGUACAUGUAUUUUCUACAUGGAAACCAAGUUUCAAGUCAAUCGGAUGCAUGGUUCAGUAGUUAUAACCGAACAUCUGUAAAAACCACUCUAGAUUUAUAUAUUAGUAUAGAAGUAUAGAUUCAAUGUUAUGCUUACAGUUAGUCUAUGAACUAUUUAUAAAGCACCUAAUGACAAAAAAGUGUAGUCCUGUUGACCACUUCUGACAACUUAAAAUAAUAAAAAAAAAAAAUCUGUUCUGAUUUGCUGCCGUGUAAAUGUUUUAUUCCAUUUUAAUCAAUACAAUGAAAUAAAAAAUGAACAUUUGUGUUGUCAUUCUACAAAUAACUUUACAUCUUGCACAAUAAGACACAAACUUGGAAUCUAGCCUUUUUAAACAAAUCUGUUUCAUGUACUUUGUUGUGAAUACUUUCUCGUGCAAAAAGUAAAAUGGAGCAGAAUAAAAUGAAGUUGAUUUAUCUGAAAUUAAUUGCUUGGUAAUUCAUCAAAUGACAUGAAAUGUAAAGAGUUAGAAUAAAGAAUAAAAAAAAGUGAACAGUUCAAAUGAAAUGACAUUAGAAAAAUGGUGGGAAUUUACUUUAUUUACUACAGUGGAAUUUUUUAGAACCCUUUUUUUCAUACCUAAUUGCUGGUAACCUAAAGAGCUUAUUCCAGCAAAGUCAGACAGGGUAGCUGAGGUCACAGGUUUAAGCUGAGAGAAUUUGCCUAACCCAACCAUUGAAAUCCAUUGAAAAGAUCCGGCCAGAAACUCGGUAGAUUAUAUCUGUGGACUAGGCUAACUAAAUGCACUUGAAAUUAAAAGCACUAAAUUAUCCACGAACACCACAUAUUAUAAUAUUAUAUUAAAACUAGCUGACCCGGCAAACGUUGUGUUGCCUUAAAUAAGAUUUCUAGGGAAAUUCUCGUGUAGAAAAAAAAACCUCACUCAACUACAUAAUACCUCAUUAUAACCAAAAAAUAAAAUUAUCCAAAAAAUAAAAUAAAAAAAUAAAUGUUUGGGGUGGACAACCCUUAUCACUUAGGGGUAUGAAAAAUAGAUAGUAGCCGAUUCUCAGGUUUACUGAACAUACUAUUGAUACACAGAUAAAAAAAAAAAAAACAUGGCUAGCAAGCUAUGACUGAUACACAAAUAAAACCAAAAAAACAUUAGUGAGUAAGACAGGAGACCAGCUUCGUCCUAAUCCCUACUAUGUGAUGUUUGCUGGAUGAGUGGUGACACCUGGCGGGGAUAACUGAUCGAUUGAUAGUUGAACAGAAUUUAAAAAAAUAUAUAAUUAAAGGAACUUAAAAUUAUAACUCUGAAUAAGAAUUUAUCGUACUACAAUUAUAAUAUUUGAUUGCCAUCUUGCAACCUUAUUGCGGAUCUGUGCAUAGAAUAAAAAAAAAAUUAAUAGGGGUUGAUCCUAUAAGAGUGAAAAUUGAGAGUAAUAUAAUAUUUUUUUAUUUUAAGUCAUGACAAAAUAAAAUAAAAAACUUGCCAAAAAAAUUAAAGUUUAAACAAAUAAAAAAUAGGGGUUGAUCGUAGAGGAGUGAAAAUUGCAGAGUAAUAUGAAUUUUUUUAUUCUAAGUCAUGACAAAAUAAAAACAAAAAUCUUGCAAAAAAAUUUAAAGUUUUUAAUUAGCAAAUAAGAAAUAAGGGUUGAUCGUAGAGGGGUGAAAAUUUAGGGUUGUAUGUAUUUUUGUAUGCUGUAUCAUAAAAAAAUAAAACAAAAAUUUUUGUCUAGAAAAUAAAAAAAAUAUUUUAUUGUGGACCACUCUUAACAUUUAGGGGGAUGAAAAAUAGAUGUUGUUUGAUUCUCAACCCUGACCGAUAUGCACGCUAAGAUUCACGAAAAUCGGUCGAGCCGUUUCGGAGGAGUUUAAUCACGCACCCCGUGACACGAGAAUUUUAUAUAUUAGAUUACAUUACGUUUUCAUUAUGGCGACUAUCGUUUCGGUUCUCUGUAGAAGAAUAUAUUGAAUUUUUGUAAAUGAAAUAAAACAAGAAUUUAUAAUUUUAUAUAAAUUAAAAUGAAUUUACAAAUUAUUUCUUAUAGUUUGCUUACUGCUAUAAACUUCAUUUAUGAAUUUAUCUAUCUUUUCGCACUUCAUAAAAAUACCCUAUCUAUUUAUCGACAGUUAAUAUAAUUUUUUGGUGUACCUCAUUGGUGAUAUAUUUUUUUAUUUAUUUUUAUUGCCGUAUAGACAGACGAGCAUACGGCCCACCUGAUGGUGAGUGGUUACUGUCGCUCAUGGACGUCAGCAAUGCCAGGGGCAGAGCCAAGCCGCUGCCUACCGUUUAAUACUCUCCACAAGUCUCGUUUGAAGAAGGACAUGUCAUAGCACUCGAGAAACACCGAGGAGGGGAGCUCAUUCCAUAGCCGGAUGGUACGUGGCAAAAAAGAUCUCUGGAAACGCACUGUGGAUGAACGUAGUGGCUCCAGGUAGUAUGGAUGAACUCUACUACGGUGGCGGGCGGUGCGAUGGUAAAAACGAGUUCGCCAUAAGUUCAGUAUUCUUCAUUUUCCCAAGGCCACAAGUUCGAUGAAAUAGUCUCCAGAAACUUAUUCCAAUAGAUUAUUACGCUAUUUUACAAAUACACAAGAGCAAGAUUAGUUAUAUUUCAUGUAGAAAAAAUAGAAUAGAGAUACUAAUAAAAAAAACAAACCCUAUGUAUUAAUUUUUUUUUUAUGUGAUUUUAUGACCUGGUUACUAAGACCUUUAAGUCAUGCCUUAUUUUAAUUUAUAUUAUUAUUUUUAUGAUAAAUGAUGAAAUGAAAUGAAGAUGAUUAAUUUGAGACAUUAGUCCACUGGAAUGAAAUCAAAUGAAAUGAGAUGAGAUGAUAUGGGAUGAAAUAUAAUCUUAGUAAAAUGGUGGUCAUUUGCUGCGACUUUUUCAUUGGACUUUUUGGAGAAUCCCGACAAGUGACGUCCAGCGGCUUUGUUUCAUUUUCCCACAUUUGUGCACUUUCAUAUAUAUUAAACAGUUAAUAAACCACCGUUAUUACACAUUUAACCUUACGAAAUACUAAAUAGACAAACUAAAAUAAAUCACACAACUUCACUCUUUGCGUUCCCGCCAAAAAGUCCCAUUAAAAUUAUUAGACGAAAGGCACAGAUAUCAUAAUUUUACUUAUAGACGACUGGCUGACUACACAAGUCCUUUCGGCGGGGUGAACGAAGACUAGAUUCUGUUACACAGCAUCUGAAAAUAUAUUCAGCGUGGUUCAGAAUGUACGACUUACCGUUUCGUUGCCUGCUUUGUUCACGAGCCCUUUUAUCAGUCUUCAAAUCGACAUUCUGGAAUCCAAAUCCCUUGGGCCAAAAUGUCUUCUAGCCCUAGCGCGGUACAUGUGUAUUUUUAAUGAGUCCUGUGGGAUCACGUACUCACAGUCGUCGCCAAUCACCUUUCAUGAAAACUUGUAGCUGAUACUGGGUUGCCUUUCCCAUGCGGGGCCAACGCAACGGCAUGCAAAUUCUCCACCGUAUCGACAUUGCUACCACAUGUACAUUUUUAUUAAGGCAUAUUCAUUAUUUAUUUAUAAGGUUCGUUGAAAACCUUUAGCUAUAUAAGGUGCGGCUUUCUUUCUUGAUCAUGUAUUUUAGCCUAUGAGGACCAGGUUAACUAUCUCAACGAUUUAUAAAAUGGCUUCAAGACUAGCUGCUCAAUGGUAUAAUAGCCGGCAAACUUCUUGAGCAUUUGUUGACGUAGUGGGGGUAAGUUUGCGCAUGGUACACUCACGUGCAAAAACAUUAUUUACUCUGCGUCAUAAUGCAAUUAAAUUAUUAAAAUCAACAUAUGUAUUUAUUUAUAUAUUUAUUAGAACAUCAACAAAAAAUAUAGGUUAAUAAUUGUAAUAAUUUAAUCUUGGGGUAAAAUAGAUAUUCCUUCUAUUAAGUCAAAACUACAGCUGUUGCCAGGUCCUUGGUUCAGUUGAAGCGAAGCUGGUAUUUGUAAUUUUUUUUUCGUUAUCAUAAUCUUGACCAUCAUCAUCAUCACUGUUUUCAUCACCCGAGUCGCCAUCAUCGUGAUGAGUCGACAUAGGGCUCAUCGGUGUAGUUUACAACUCGGUCGGUUCGAUCUUCUUUUUUGUCUAUAGAUAAUUAAUUAUAUUUUGAAGAUAUUCGAUUCGUAAUAAUCGAAUGUUACUUUUUUUAAUUACCAGCUUCCGAUUAUUUUCUGUUUUUUUUUUCCAUCUGAAGCCUAGCUCUUUCAUAAUUUGUCGUAAACUUCAUUCCGAGCCAUUAAAAUGUAUAUCUUCUUUAAAUUUUCCGAAGCCUUUCUACGGUACGGAGUUUCGCUGCUUGCUAUGUAGUUAUUAUGAUUACAUCUUUUUAUUACAGAUUGAACGCAACUAUCCAUUCCGGUAACUUUCUUCUUCCCUGAUCUUUUCUUACCCGGAGUCCCAAACACGGCGAGCAAGCCAGAGCCUUUAGCUUCGUUAAUAAUGGACCUAACAGUACUCACUGAUGUUUUUGUUGCUUCCGAAGUCUGUUUUACUUUUUCCAUAUCAUUUUUCUCCUGUUUUAUAAUGAAGCAAUAUACGUCGUACACAAUUUUUCUACCCUUUCUUUUGAAUACAACACCAGUUUGUCACGGCAUAGUGUAUUUUUUAUAAAAAAUCAACAAACACUCAACAAAUAGCAAUGGCAACAAAGUCAACAAGCAAUUAUAACAAAUAACUUAACGAUUAAUAACGAUAGACUUUUCACUGUACGCAAGCGUACUUUUGGGAGCAAGCGGAACGAGGGCGCGGUGCGGGGCGCAAGUUUCGACUGAUCUACCAAUAACGCGCUCGAUACGAUUUCCCCUGCCGUCGCGCCUCACCCUCACCACCAAAGUGAUCUAAAAUUCGGUUCUGCGCAGUCAAGAUCAUUUGCUCAAAAUGUUUGCCGGUUACUAUAACAACUACAGAUUUUCAAAACCUUCCAUCUGUAAAGAAACCAUUCCAAUCUGCCCGUUACCUAAGUAUCAAUUUUAAAAAAUGUACAGGUUGUGAUUAUUGAAGAAACUCAAUACAGAUUUUUCAAUACAAUCACUUUCAAUUCACGUUUCUCCUCGCGCUUUAAGAUCGACGUCAACACAUGUAUGUAUAUGUUUAUGGAUUGUAGUAAUCACUUAAUAUCAUAUGGGCCGUGAACUCGUUGACAUUCUUAAAACUCACGUCAGUCACAGUCAAACGUCAACAUUUGAAGUGUCAUUCAAAAUUUAUUCAACUUAAUCUCAUUAAAACAACUCUUUUAAAACAGUUUGCUAUCACCGGCUCCACUAAAUUGGUCACAAUCCUGAGAAGAAACGCCUAAAUAUAAUAGGUUGGAAAAAGUCUUUUCGCAUUAUAGUAUGUAUGAACUUGUAAUAAAAUCUCUUUGGCUAUACUUUUUGUAGCUGGCUGGUGCAGUGUCUGUGAAAGUAGCACAAAUUUGGUUUAAGCGUUUUCAAUCCGGAAAUUUUGAUGUCAAAGAUGCACGUCGCUCUGGUCGCCCUAUUACGGAUAAAAUGGAUGCCAUUUUUGAAAAAGUGGAGCAAGAUCGGCAUGUCAGUAGUUACGACGUAGCUGAAGAACUGGGAAUUGACCACAAAACAGUUUUGGCGCAUUUGAAAAGAACUGGGUACACAAAAAAGCUCGGUAUUUGGGUAUCUCACGAACUCACUGAAAUAAACCUGAUGAACCGUUACUCAUUUGUGAUUCUUUAUUACGAAGUAAUGACACCGAACCAUUUUUGAAGAAGCUGAUAACUGGUGAUGAAAAGUGGAUCACAUACGAUAAGAACUUGCGAAAAAGGUCGUGGUCAAAGGCCGGUCAGGCUUCACAGACUGGCGAAACCCGGGUUAACUCGCAACAAGGUGGAUGCUGUCAUUAUUUGCUAUUACCACCAGCCAGGACCAUCGAUUUUGAACUCUACUACGAACUACUGAUGAGAUUAAAGCAAGAAGUUGAGAGAAAGCGGCCGGAAUUAAUCAACAGAAGGGGUGUGGUUUUUCACCAUUAUAACGCUAGACCUCACACAUCUUUGGCUACUCAGCAAAAUUUAAAAAAUUUAAGAGAGCUUGGCUGGGAGGUGUCAAUGCAUCCGCCGUAUAGUCCUGACCUUGCACCUUCAGAUUUCCACCUGUUUCGGUCUGUUCAGAAUUCUUUAGGCAGUGUCAGGUUAACAUCACGAGAGGACUGCCAAAACCAAUUGUCGCGGUAUUUUGAUCAGAAGCCCCAAAAUUUCUAUAGCAAUGGGAUCACGUCCCUACCUAAGCGGCACGUAAGUUGGCAAGGUUUUAGAGUAGUGGGGGUAAGGUCGCUCAUAGUGCACAUUGCAACUAAAAAUAGUCACUUUUAUUGCCCGAAUAUAAUUUAAUUUAAUUUUUUAUUUGCCAUAAUUUAUUUUUAAGCAUGUGUGUUGAGAAGAAAGUUAAAGAAAAGAGAGGAAUUCGAGAAGUGUAUUAAGUGUUAAUAAAAUACAAUUAAAAGUAAAGAAGUUUACUUUAAAAAAAUAUACUUAAUAUUAAAAAUUAUAUGUCGCCUUCACUAUCGUUUUCUAAUAGUGCUACCCCUUGCAUUAAAUUUAUGGUAGUACCUGAGCUGGUGGAAGGAGUUGUCUCCUCAUCCUCGACAUAACUCUCGUCACUGGCGUAAAUAAUGAAAUGCUCAGUGACUGAAUCGACUAUAUGGUCAUCGGUAUUUGGUCCUGGCAUUGCAAACAAAUUUAAAACAAUAACACUCUUAACAAAAACUAAAUUUAAAACAAUAAUAACAAUUCGUAACAAAAACUCAAUAUAAACAAUGGGUACCUACAAGUUUAGUAGGCGCAAGUGUAGUCAGGAGCGAACCGAACGUAGACGCGGUGCGGGAAGGGAGGGUCGACUGACGCACCAAUCGCGCGCUCGGUACGGUGCUACGUCUUUCCCCGCGUCCCGCUUGAGAACCCAAGAGACCUAAAAAACGACUUGUGCGCAUCAAACGACUCUUGCCAAGAUACGUGCCGGGGACUAUACAAGAUGGCAAAAGCUAUCGAAAAAAUUGGUACCUACAUACUUUAGUUAAAUGUAAAUAAACUACAUUAAAAAUUGUUGUGAAUUUUCUAAAAAGAUGCGAAGAAACUUUUUCCCUAACCUAUUAUUAAGUGCCAGAAUAUUUUUUAUUACCAUUACUAAUUUUACGUUAUUUUCCUUUUAAAAGUAGAUCAACAAUUUUAUUGUUUAAAAUGGAGGAUUAUACUGUCCAUUAAAAUGAAAGCGCCAAUAGCGAUUAGCGAACAUCUCAUUUUCAUAUCAUAUGAUGUCUGUUGAAUGUUAAGUAGUAAUUAACUUAAAUGUUUUACUACAUAAACCUGCUUUUAGAGUGAGUAACAGUUUCCUUAAACCUGAGAAAGAUUGCUAUAAAGCAGCACAAAGGCACGGCUUAAAGAGUUGUUAUAGUAUAUAUUCGCGCCGUCCGGAAAGUAAAUAUAUCCUUGUUUUUCUAGUAUUUAUAUUUCACAAUUUUGAAAACCUGUGGAAGUUAUUUUAAAAUUUUAAAUUUCAAGAAUACACGGCAACGUCUUAAAAAUAACCACAUUUAAAUAUAUAUAUAACAUUUUUAUAUGCUUGGGAAAAAGGUAUAAUGUGGACUGUGUUCAUAGAAGUCAGGGUUGCCCCAUUCAUCGUCGAACUGAUUCAUGUCCUUUUUACUUCUAAGAUAAGUAUGUAGAUCAAAAAAAAAAAAAAGAAAAUUUAGUUAAAUACAUAUACAUAUGCGCCUUUAAUGUGAAAGGGUGUCAACAAGUGCAACCUUUUGGCAUUUGAAAUAUUGAAAGUACUCAAUGAAGCUAAGCACUGCUGCUUUUUCAAGGUGGGUGGCGCAUUUACGUUAUGGAUGUCUAUGGGCUCCAGUAACCACUUAACACCAGGUAGGCUGUGAGCUCGUCCACACAUCUAAGCAAUAAAAAAAAAAAAAAAAACGGGAGUGCUGUGAGGAAUUAUUUCAGAUGAUCCUUUUUACUACGGCCUUCCUUUAGUUAGACUUUAGAGCAUACUCUCUAGAAACAGUGCAUUCCUAGGAAUCUUUUUUGUCUGUUAGGUACUAUAAAAAAAAAAAAAAAAAAGGUACUAUACAACUACAUUGAACUUUGUUUAACGGCGUUUCCUGAGCGUUAUGACAUGCCCUUCUCCUAAAGAAGUUUUUGGAGAAUAAUGAGCAGCUUGACUGUGUUUUUGCUCACGUCCAUGCGCGAUGUUAGCCACUUAUCAUCAGUUCGGUUGUAUACACAUCUCUUAACGGCUACAAAGAAACGGGGUUAUCGGCUAAAUAUCUCUACAUUCCUCAUGUACCAUGGAGCUAUAAUAGUUCAGUUAAAGAAGCGGGUUUUCAAGACUGAAGGAGUUUAUGUACUCCCAUUAAUAAUGAUCAUGUCACCUUAUUACGAAGGAACAAUUGUUCUUCGCUCGCAGAUCAUACAGAUGGCGCUUAGAUACUUGACCUUCCUGGUCUAUGAUAUUCUCAGCCCGAAAAGGAUAAGGUGAGCGGAGUAGUGGUUUGCAACUGAAUCGGAAGGACAUUCGCAUCGAUGACUUUCUUUUAGUAUGCAAAGCUGAACUUUGCACUUGGUUAACUUCGAGACGCCACUUUUGACUGAACAACAAAAGACAGGCUGAAGUGAAGUAGGGCCAGGAUUAGACGAAGGACCAAAAUCAAAACGAGUGAUAUACCAAGAACUUUCGUAAGGUGAGCACGAAAAUGUCCGGCAGGCCCAAGUCGUACUGUUUAUAAAUCAAACCUUUUUACCAGACUUUGUCGAACAUCAUUGCGACAUAGAAGAAAGAGGGCUCCCGUAAAAAGCUUGAUACACCCAAACAGAUUAUGUUAUGGGUCUGUUAAGAUGUUGUACGUCCGAGUGUUUGAGUAGAAUCUAAAUUGCUCGUCAAUAAAGAUACCCUUGAAGAACACCUGAAGUUUCUGAGGUGCUUGCGGAGCUAUUGUCUUAUUACUUGCUUAGAGACAUAAGACUAAUCAGGUAGCUCGAUAAUUCUUUGCAUUCCAGGCUUGUAAAUGCUGAUAAUGUCUGCCGCACGAUCUCACCAGUGCGAAAAAUACAUUCGUUGUGUCUUUUGAUUUAUUGAGAAGUUCUAUAGAGCUUUGAGAAUUAUCUCUGCCAUUUUGUUUAUUAAAAUAUUGCUCAGAAAUAAAAAAAAGUGGUCGGUAAUUCUUUUUUCUGUUAUUCUAUUUGGGAAUUUCCAGAGGAGCUGUUUUGAUUUUAACACCCGACUCGUUUUUAAACCACUCUGCCUUUUUCUCUCUUUCCUUCAUUGCUUUGAUCGCUUCAAUAUUAUGAAUUCUACAUUUUCUCACAGAUUUUUUCUCGCAAACAAGACCCUAAAGCUAUUAAUAUACUAGUUAAGAAAUAUCCGAGAAGCAAGGAAAGCUUAAAAAAUUCUCCAUACCUGCUUUGCGUAAUGUUAUUGCAGCCAUUCAACUCUUGACACGCAUAAUAUCAAGCAUAUUUAACAGAGAAUGGUCCGUAAAUGAAAAAAAAAACAAUGUAUAUGUGAAAACUUUUUUUUUGUUUAUUGUGAUAGUUGUUAUGGAUUGAUGAUUAUUACAAUUUUUUUUUUCUAUUUUAAAACACUCCAGUUACUUAAAUUUUAACCUCGACUUUGGCAAAGUUGUGUCGGUAAAGAAAAGUAAUAAUAUGGACAAAAGCAGGAAGAUGUAUCGAGAUGUAUGUAAGAUCGAUUAAUUUAGAGGGCUUCAAAACUAGUUCGUUUGCUACGAGUUAUUCAAUUAUACAUUUUUUUAUAAUUUUACACUACUUCAUUCAUUUCAUUCACUACCUCGUUCAUCCUCAGUGCGUUUCCAGAGAUUACCAUCCGGCUUUGAAAUGAGCUUCCCUCCGCAGUGUUUCCCGAGCGCUAUGACAUGCCCUUCUUCAAACAAGGCGUGUGUAGAGUAUUAAACUGUAGGCAGUGGCUUGACUCUACUCCUGCCAUUGCUGACGUCCAUGAGUGACAGUAACCACUCACCAGAUGGACGGCAUAGUCGUCUGCCUACAAGAGCAAUUAAAAAAAAUUGACUAUUUAAAUUGAUAUAAAGCAUAUAAGUUAAGUAAUAAUGGAGAUUUCUAGUCCAUUGGAAAGUAUCCUGUUGGAUACUUUCCAAUGGCUCCAUCUACCAUUCCAUGGGGUCCAUCUACAUUUCUACCUCAAUGAAAUUAAAUUACCCAUUUUAAGCAAGAUUCUGUUUAAAUUAAUUAUGGAGUUGUUAUAAAUAAGCAUAAAUUUUCCUAGUUAGUAGUAGAGUAGUCAAAUAAAUAAUAGAAAUGUUUUUAGAACUUGUUUUUUUGUUUAAAUGCAUCUUAAAGAAACCGUAAUUUUUAAUUUCCGGUAAUAGGAGGUUGUAGAACAAAAUCAUAGUUUAAUAAAUUGAAGAACGCAUCUAACAUAAAGUGCAGUUUAUUAUAAAUAUGUUUGAUUACUUAAAAUAAAAAUAUAUAUAGCCGCGCCGUAAAGGCAAUUGACUUGUAUUUGUUGCGACAUCGUUGACUUGUUCGAAUUAUCAGGCUGUGACGCGCAACGCAAGGCGUGCGAUCUGGCAGCGUGGCGCCGCUCUGCGGGUCGAAUACGUUUGUUUGAAUUCGGAGCGGCAACGUCGCAACACUUCGAAACGCGUUGUAUUUUAACAGACUUGAUCAAAAGUUUAAGCAAUUCUUUAGUCACGAAACGCUUCAUAAAUACCGGCGUCAUAGUUUUGUGGUAUUGUGAGGGUCUACGCAUGUGAAACGAAAGGGUUUGUUUCUGUACUACCUUAGCUCACGGGAAAACGUAAAUUACCGUUCAAUAUCUGCCUUGCUUAAUCCGUGCCUAAAAAUUGUUUAUUUUUAAUUGAAUUUUUGAUCUAUACAGUUUUAGUUUUAUUAAUAUUAAUUAAUCUAUCUCGGGCUAUAAUCUAUCUAUUGUAACUUGGCGCAGUCGGCUAGCCAGGGCUAGCCAUAAUAUGGCAUUCCAUUCGGCUAUUGGAUGUUAUGUUGCGCUCUCGUAUUCGCUCGGUUCAGUACAUUAGAAGUUCUCGAUAGCGCUUAGAUAAUGCUACUAUGUUGACCAGUCGAGUAGGAGAAUGUUAUUGUCUCUAAAUCGGUUUAUAACAUGGAGCAGGCUCGCAGGAUUUUCACGUUUUCUCUAAGUUGAUGUUACCGAAACUUCGCUUUAACGAGGGCUCUGAACAACUUCAAGUAAAUUUAUGUAAUUUCAACUGUCUGACCAUGGGAUCUUUACAAAGAAACAUUUUGCUAUUCCAUCCGGCAGCCCCAAAUUAUAAUGCUGCUGUCUCAGUUCAUAUAAUAAGCUGUAGGCACUACACAAUCGUGAUUGUGUUCUUCUCUGACACGCUGCUUUACUAACAUCAUACGCAACAUUCCGAACACCACCAAAAUAUAAAAAAGAAAAAUUAUUAGUUUUAAACAUUAAAAUAAGUAAGUAUAAUAUACAAAUUGGAAAUUUAAAGUAUUUUAUGUUUAUAAAGUGAAUCGGAAUUCCACUAUUUCUUGGCUUGGGCUGUUUGUGCGAAUAGGAGAAUGGACUGAGCGUGAAAAAAUCGAAUGCAGGAAGUUUUUAAAAAUGUACUUUUCUUAAGGCUUUAUUGUUUUAUAAGCAACUGUCGCCGCCGCGGUCUAAUAAAAUACAGUUUAACUCGAUUUUUUUUAAAUUCAAAUAGACCAUCACAUGUGAUUAUAAAUCCCAUGACUUAAACGCGAUUGGGAAUGCCGCUUAAUUACUAAAAAUAAUCUAAGAAACUUAGGGCUUUCCCUAUUCCAAAUAUGUAAAUGUACAUAAAAACUACCAUAUAUUAGGUAUUAUAAAUAAACUAGUCGUACCUGCCCGCUUCGCUGGGCAUUUAAAAUUAACAUUAUUAUUUAUUGUCAUUAUUAAGGAGUCCAAAAUCAUAUAAAUCCUAGCCUAUCCAUUAAGUACAUGGAUACCAAGUUUCAAGUCAAUCGGAAGCAUGGUUCAGUAGUUAUAACGGAACAUCCGUAAAAACAACUGUAGAUUUAUAUAUUAGUAUAGAUAUCAUGUGCUAUGAAGACGAGUUGAAGUAAGAGAUACAGGUCUACAUUACCAAGGACUGAUCUGUCAGUAAUGUUGUAUGAAGUACAGUUGCUAACAGUAUAAAGACCUUUCGUUAUUCAGGCACUUUUAAUUUUAAAACUUAUAACAAUGUCAUGUAAAGCUCGAUCUGUUCGAUCGAUCUUUUUACUGGUGGUAGGACCUCUUGUGAGUCCGCGCGGGUAGGUACCACCACCCUGCCUAUUUCUGCCGUGAAGCAGUAAUGCGUUUCGGUUUGAAGGGUAAGGGAGCCGUUGUAACUAUACUUGAGAUCUUAGAACUUAUAUCUCAAGACGGGUAGCGCAUUUACGUUGUAGAUGUCUAUGGGCUCCAGUAACCAUGGGCUGUGAGCUCGUCCACCCAUCUAAGCAAUAAAAAAAAAGAUAUUUAAUUUCGAAACGAACGAUUAAAUUUUAUUAAUUUCAUUGUGAAGUAUUAUUAGUUUGCACUUUUAAAUCUGAAAAUAUAUUUAUCAAACUUGUUCUCAAUUUACAAUCCUCUACAAUGCGACGCUGUCUUCAGCAUCUUCUGCCGGGCUUACUACCCUCUGCCACCGAGUCCCACAUAUUACAUAUUUAUACAUAUUUUACAGAUUUAGUAUUUUUUUAGUUAUACAUAGCUUACAUUUAUAGUUUCUUGUUUCCAUACUUUAGAUUUUCGAUCUGUGACGUCACAAAGCUACUGACAAAUAAUUUGUUCACCCCGUGUAAUUUCCCUACUGAUUUGAAAUUAUUUAAUUCAUACAAUCAAUAUGUCCGAAACAGAAGUGUAAUCAUACAGCAAAUUCGGAGAGAAAGCGAGCAUCAAUGUUACCGUACAUUACCGUACUACGAUUAGACUCCACCCACUCUCGCUCUAUCGACCUGCGCGGUCAUCUUGUUCUGGCACCGUGGUGUUCUCUACACAGCUCGAAAUUAUUCUUAUUACAAAAUAAACUUUUUACAUAAAAAACAGACUUCGUUAGUAAUUUUGUUUUGUAAUAGCACCAAAGCUAGUCAAGGGAUAGUUUAGUUUUAUAUUCCUAAGACACGGAAGUUGAAUAGUUAAAUGCGUCAAUACGAAAAUAUGGCAGAUCAGCAAUACUCAACAUUUUGAAAAUUAAAAAUAACCAGAUACAAAUUUUAUUAAAUAUAUUUCAUUUAUUUAACAUCCGACUAUUCUGAAAGAUGUACUUAUCUAAAUGAAUCAAUUCCACUAAGCAGAUGUUACAUUAAAAGUUUUACUACAUUACAUACAUCACUUUAAUAAAAUAUCUUUUGCAAAUCUACUCUCAAACUGCCAAAAUUUGCAGAAUUGUGAGUUAUGCUUUGACAAUAUUUCAGCUAUUAAAAUUAAUUUAUAUCAAGACCCAGUAAGUAUAUCAGGAUAUUUUCUUCUAAAAUCUCAAAAAGAUCACUUUAACAGCAAUAUUAAAUGUAUUCGAAAAAGUAAUUAUUAUAAUUUAACUAAGAACGCUGAAAAUAUUUGGCGUAUACGAAUAUAUUUUUUAAUUUUUUAUUGCCCUUGUACGCACACGAGCAUACGGCCCAACUGAUGAUGAGCGGUUAUCGCCGCCCAUGGACUUCAACAAUGCCAAGCCGCUGCCUACCGUUAAGUACUCUCCACAAGCUUCGUUUAACGAAGGACAUUUCAUAAUGCUCGGGAAACACUGUGGAGGGGGGGGAGCUCAUUCCAAAGUCGGAUGGUAGGUACGUGUCAAAAAAGAUCUCUGGAAACGCAAUGUGGGUGAACGCAGUGGCUCCAGGUAGUAUAGAUGAACUCUCUACUCCGGUGGCGGGCGGUGCGAUGGUAAAAACGAGAUGAUGGAAUCGCCUCAGACAAUUCCUCAGAGCACUCCCCAAGGAACAUGUAGUACAAAAUACAGAGAGAAGCGAGGUCCCUUCGCAGACCUAGAGGUUCCAUAUUCUCUAAUAUAAAUAUUUUGGAUCGGGGUACUCUUAUAGGUAAACGAAAAUAUAAAAAAAUCGGGCAUAACUUCGAUUUAAAAUUUAAAUAGGUAAAGUAGAUUAAUGAAAACAUUAAUUAUUCUGAUACUGAAUGGAUGAAAAUAUCUAAAAUUAUGAUGGAAUGUCACAUCUAAUGAGAAAUCAAAUAUGAUCUUGAAAAUAAUAUCAUUGAAUAAUACGUAUAUAUUUCGUAAUAAUCUCGUUUCUAUUUCCUAAAAAUAUUACAGUUAAUGGAUGCUAAUUAUAAAAUUUUAAAUGUAGUUGGUGUAACAUUUAAAAUUUUAUUAAUUUGAAAAUGUUAAUUUUAGUUUAAUUAGCUACGUACCAUUUAUAAAAUCGAGAACAUUUUUUAUUUGCGAAAUGAUUACAUAACACAUUACCAGAACAUUUUCUUGAUGAAAACUAAUGAUAUAGAAAAUGCAUAACUUAAUCAUUGAUUAAUCAGGAAAACCAUUAAUUGGACAUAUUCACGAAAAUUUUGUGCCUAAUUAAUUAAUGUGUCGUUUUUAGUCAGCAACGUGACGUCACAAUUUAUAUUCCCUAACUUGUCGCUACCGGUUGGUCUCAAGCGGCAACAACGCUUACAAAAAUUUUCGUUGUCCCGUCUCACUCACAACCACUCGCACGUUCCACCAAAGUUGCUUAAAUGUACAUGCGGUAGGUAGAUAUAUUAUAAAAUGAGAGCUCUGACUCCGAGUUUCACACGGAAAUCAAAUACAGUGUGUCUGGCAGCGGGUUGCGGGCUGCGGCCAUGUAAGAGCGUUAAAUCUGGCAACAUCGCACCAGACGCCGACCGAUCACGUUGUUUGUGGCGUUAUUUUAACAUUUGCAGGCAUAGAAUAGAUAAAUUAUUCGUAUCGUAGAACUCUUUAUUUAUAAAACAAACUCAAAAUCAUAUGAUCCAAAAGAAAAUUUAUUCAAAAUCAUGUUCGGAGAAACUGAAAUUACUGGGCUAGUACAAAAUUGUAAAAAAAUAUGCUAUAUCCUUUUUAUUAAAAGCUAAAGUGCUUUAGCUACAGAAUUAAAAGUAUUAACGUAAGAACGAAUGUUUUUUGUUUACAUCUACAUACUUAUUUAUAUCUCCCCGUAUCUAUUUGCGCAUGAAACAAGCAGACGAGUAAAGAUACUGAAAUAAGUACUUAUAUACAUGGCAGCCGAAAGGCCGGAGCGGCAACGUUGCGCUGUGUCAGUUACAGCUACACGCUACAUAACUUAUCGGUGCGGCAACAGCGUAAAUCGGCUGUCCAAUUUCAAAACCUAGUAUCUGACAAAUUUAAAAAAAAGUGUGUUUUUGCAUUUUUCGACCUUGUAGACCAUUCUCCACAUAUUAGGAUAGCAAAAACCCCCAAAAAUUUGUAAAAAACGAAGUUACACAAAGUCGGAAACCUAGUAUCUACAGUAAAGGUUUUCAAAAUGCAAAAAUUACAAGAUUAGAACAUAGUAUAUAACAUCAACCAUUUUAAAAACCUAAUAAGUGCUUGUAGUUACUUGGAUUUAAAAUGGUUCAUGCAGAUACUAAGGCAAUGAAAUGGUUGAAAUAAACGUCAAAACUCCCGCGAAACUUUAGUAAGUGAGAAAAUCGUUGCACGUUGUUCGUGUUUUUGUCUAUAAAAUGAGUAAAAAUCAGUUUUAUAGGUCGAAAUUGAUCUUGAAUGCUUUAAAAGAACAACAUGGUGAAAUGUAAGUACGCUUCAGUGUGUUUUAUUAUUGUCAAGGUUUUUUGUUUUCCAAAAUUGCAACCUACUACGACACAUAAAGUAAAUGAAGGUGCAAAUAUUCCAGAGGAUGUUAAAACUGCAUACGGGGAUCACAAAGCUAGAGCAAGUAAAGCAAUACAAAAGUAUCAAGAAGAUGCCUCCCUAGAAAAUACUUCCUCUGUGAGAUACUAUUCGAUGGAUUUACAAAAAGUUAUGUUGUUACCCGACAUGCCUAAAGUCAAAGAAUCGUUUUUCUUGAGUAGAAUGAUAACUUUCAACUUGACAUUUGCACCAAUCAGAAAGAAAACGAAUGUUAAUAAUAUUUGUAUUCUAUGGCAUGAAGCCUGUUCUGGACGAGAUUCUCAUGACAUUGUUAAUGCAAUUGCAGCAAUGAUCGAAAAAGAAAGAGAUUUUAAUCAUUUGAUAUUGUGGUGUGAUAAUUGCAGAGCUCAAAAUAAAAAUUGGAUCCUCUUUACAUCACUUGUUACUAUAAUAAUCUCUGGGUUUUUCAAUUUAAAAAGUUGGACUUUGUAAUACCUACCUAACUAAAGAUCACACAAGCAUGUCGCUGAUGGAGUUCAUGGCAAUAUGGAGAGGCAGAUUAAAAACAAAAGAUGCUGUGUACGAUUUUGAAGACUAUAAGAAUGUAAUUUUGGGUUGCAAAUCGCAUAUUGAAGUUAUCGAAUUCGAAAAAUCGUAUGAGUGGGUAAAAAAGAAACGCAUACCGCGACGCAAUGAUGACCUUGUUCCCAUUAAUAAUUUUUUGCUUAGUUCUUUGGUUGAAAUAAUAUUUGUAAAUGGGUGCCGUAAUAUGUUUUGAAUGAUUUUUAAUCUCCGUAUUCCGAGUUGAAUUCUCUUAUUAAAAACACAAUCUCUUGAUCAUGCCAACCUUAAAAAAUAUUCCAAGAGGCAUUAACGAAAGUAAAAAGGAAGGCAUAGUAACAACUUUAUUUAGCUUAAAGAAGUUUUGGAGAAGAAGUCUUGGCAAAGUGUACCGAUUAAUAAUAAUCCAGUUAAUUUAGUUUCUAGUGGACAAAUAUUAAUAACCGAAUAAUUUAUUUUUAUUUGACUGUUUUCAAAUAUUUUGAGUGAUUAUUUUUUGAUUUUUUACUGUGAACAAAUAGUGUUUGGUUUCCGAUUAUGUGUUUUUUUUUUCUUUUUCAUUAAAACUGCUUAUUUCUGCCCAUAUUUAUGUUGUUUUAUUCUGUUUUUUCUUACUAUGUUUAAAAAAUUGCAUUUAGUUCCUACUCAGUAAAUUCAGACCUAAAUGAAAACAAAGCAAGUGAUCUUACUAAGUCUAUUAAUUUGCGUUUAUCCCCACUCAUUAUAUUUUAGAAUUAGAUGAAAACAAAGCAAGUGAUCUUACUAGGUUUUGAAAUUGUCACACUCAAAAAGUUUGAUCUAAGAAAACAAUCUUUUUAUUAGUAACUGCUCCUCUACGCACAUCUUUUGUGAUAGACGCAUGAAAUCUACUUUUUUAUAAAGCCUGUUAUGCACCUCAAAUUUUGCAAUCACUCUCAAGAAGGUACGACUAAUAUUAUUGAAACGGCACGCUGUCAAAGAUAUGAAAUUGUUUUUCGGCUCUCCUGUAAAAUUUAGUUUUAUGCAGAUACUGG
Long non-coding RNA from Bombyx mori (domestic silkworm), 18256 nucleotides. RefSeq lists it as uncharacterized. The record is from RefSeq and is a predicted model, not a curated record. The transcript has 2 exons. Lineage: Eukaryota; Metazoa; Arthropoda; Insecta; Lepidoptera; Bombycidae.